CAGCAGCCGCGGUAAUACGAAGGGUGCAAGCGUUAAUCGGAAUUACUGGGCGUAAAGCGUGCGUAGGCGGUGAGUUAAGUCUGCUGUGAAAUCCCCGGGCUCAACCUGGGAAUUGCAGUGGAUACUGGAUCACUAGAGUGUGGUAGAGGAUAGUGGAAAUUCCGGUGUAGCAGUGAAAUGCGUAGAGAUCGGAAGGAACAUCUGUGGCGAAGGCGACUAUCUGGGCCAACACUGACACUGAGGCACGAAAGCGUGGGGAGCAAACAGGAUUAGAUACCCCAGUAGUCCCUGUCUCUUAUCC
RNAcentral lists this ribosomal RNA (301 nucleotides) under uncultured bacterium. Its description in RNAcentral is "partial 16S ribosomal RNA". It matches the Rfam family "Bacterial small subunit ribosomal RNA", at positions 509 to 809 of the family's 1533-position model. The record is from RNAcentral.